RNAcentral lists this ribosomal RNA (253 nucleotides) under uncultured microorganism. Its description in RNAcentral is "partial small subunit ribosomal RNA". It matches the Rfam family "Bacterial small subunit ribosomal RNA", at positions 524 to 776 of the family's 1533-position model. The record is from RNAcentral.
UACGGAGGGUGCAAGCGUUAUCCGGAUUUAUUGGGUUUAAAGGGUCCGUAGGCGGACUUAUAAGUCAGUGGUGAAAUCCUGUCGCUUAACGAUAGAACUGCCAUUGAUACUGUAAGUCUUGAGUAUAUUUGAGGUAGCUGGAAUAAGUAGUGUAGCGGUGAAAUGCAUAGAUAUUACUUAGAACACCAAUUGCGAAGGCAGGUUACCAAGAUAUAACUGACGCUGAGGGACGAAAGCGUGGGUAGCGAACAGG